AGUGAACGCUGGCGGCAGGCCUAACACAUGCAAGUCGAGCGGCAGCGCGUCCGACCACCCUCGGGUGGUCGGAUGGCGGCGAGCGGCGGACGGGUGAGGAAUGCAUCGGAAUCUGCCUCGUUGUGGGGGAUAACGUAGGGAAACUUACGCUAAUACCGCAUACGACCUACGGGUGAAAGUGGGGGACCUUCGGGCCUCACGCGAUGAGAUGAGCCGAUGCCGGAUUAGCUAGUUGGCGGGGUAAAGGCCCACCAAGGCGACGAUCCGUAGCUGGUCUGAGAGGAUGAUCAGCCACACUGGAACUGAGACACGGUCCAGACUCCUACGGGAGGCAGCAGUGGGGAAUAUUGGACAAUGGGGGCAACCCUGAUCCAGCCAUGCCGCGUGUGUGAAGAAGGCCCUUGGUUGUAAGGUCACUUUGUUGGGUAGAAACCGGA
RNAcentral lists this ribosomal RNA (437 nucleotides) under uncultured bacterium. RNAcentral's name for it is "bacterial SSU rRNA". It matches the Rfam family "Bacterial small subunit ribosomal RNA", at positions 30 to 455 of the family's 1533-position model. The record is from RNAcentral.